CUUGUCCUCAGACUAGCCAUGCACGUCUAGUACAAACUAAAUGAUGGUGAAACUGCAAAUGGCUCAUUACAACGGUUAUGAUGUACCCGGGAGUUCCGAUGGAUAUUUCCAGUAACACUAGAACUAAUACAUGUCUCUGCGUUUAUUAGUUUCGCACAGUCCGUCGCUGAGUCAUGGUAAACAGCUGAUCGACUCGACGUCCCGGAACAGUUUCCGCCCCAUCAGCUUCGAUGGUUGGGUAUUGGCCUACCAUUGCAACAACGGGUAACGAGGAAUUAGGGUUUGAUUUCGGAGAGGGAGCCUGAGAAACGGCUACCACAUCUACGGAUGGCAGCAGGCGCGCAAAUUACCCAAUGCAGACACUGUGAGGUAGUGACGAGAAAUAAUAAAGCGGGACUUCUGUUUCGCUAUUAUAAUGAGGAAUAACCAAAGGUCAUUCCGAUUAGCAACUGAUGGGAAAGUCUGGUGCCAGCAGCCGCGGUAAUACCAGCGUCAGUAGC
Molecule: ribosomal RNA, 500 nt
Filed under: uncultured Myrionecta
Lineage: Eukaryota; Ciliophora; Litostomatea; Cyclotrichida; Mesodiniidae
Description: SSU rRNA
Rfam family: Eukaryotic small subunit ribosomal RNA
Source: RNAcentral